Molecule: non-coding RNA, 95 nt
Organism: Drosophila suzukii
Lineage: Eukaryota; Metazoa; Arthropoda; Insecta; Diptera; Drosophilidae
Source: RefSeq, a predicted model, not a curated record
AAUCCUGAGGAGCUCCAGGGGAAAAGAAGGGACAGGCCAAAAAGGCAAACAACGAGGACAAAUAAGGCUCUCGGGUCUAACUCCGGAUAAAUUCA